CUCAGUUUUAAUAGCUCACCCGUUAAAAAUAAAAAAAACGUAAUAUUUGAACAUGUGCAUGGAUUUUUGUAAACUGUACUUCCUCUACGAAGAACUAUUGGGUUGAAACACAGAUCAUUAAAACUAUGGUCUUUGAAACAGAUUAGCCUACCAAAAUGAAUCUAAUAAUAAUAAUAAUAAUAAUAAUAAUAAUUAUAUACAGAUGGACAUUUGUAUAGCACGAAUUAUACUGGACCUGCAUGCAGCAUACUUCUGUAUGCAAGAAUAAAAAAAAAAAAAAUACAUUUCUAGGUUAAGGGACAUAAUUGGCAACAACAACUUAUGCUCAUUUGAUUUUGACGACAUAUGCGGUAUUUGUUGGCCAUUGUUAAGUUUAGUUUUGAUAAAUAAAUGUUGCAGCUUUUGGCAGGAUAUCCCUGCCUUUCUAGCUACGUUUCCUUUUCACAGUGUGUUCCCUCAUAUGGUCUCUGCCUCUGAGUAUGGCCUGAGCCACAGGGAGUAAUGUGGUAUAAGCUGCUGGGGGACUUAAGUUGCAGACUGUAGAAAGUAGGCAGCAAGGGCAAAACAUAUGUAUUAAUACUACAUAUAUGUAUCCAAUUAUUGUUUGCUUUACUGUGAGAACCAACUCCAAAGAACACAAACCUUUUGCUUCCAGCUCACAUCAGAUCCUGCAUUCUGGAGGCACUGUUUUACUG
Pelobates cultripes (western spadefoot toad) is the source of this 695-nucleotide non-coding RNA. The record is from the annotation of a GenBank genome assembly. NCBI's taxonomy places the organism in Eukaryota, Metazoa, Chordata, Amphibia, Anura, Pelobatidae.